GGUGAUAUAACUCAAUGGUAGAGCACUUGCCUAGCAUGCAAGAAGUCCUGGGUUCAAUUUCCAUCACAUCA
RNAcentral lists this transfer RNA (71 nucleotides) under Dipodomys ordii (Ord's kangaroo rat). It matches the Rfam family "tRNA". From Rfam's summary of the family: Transfer RNA (tRNA) molecules are approximately 80 nucleotides in length. Lineage: Eukaryota; Metazoa; Chordata; Mammalia; Rodentia; Heteromyidae. The record is from Rfam by way of RNAcentral.